GGUCGCGGUAAAAAUAAGGUAUGUCGUACAUACCACGAUGAAAGCGAGAAGAGAGAAAGAAAGAUAACUUUUUGCAGCAACAAAUUUAUAAGGGCGCGUUUGGUUCGCACUAUAAAAAAUUUCUAGGAAUAAAAAUAUGUCCGAAAAUCUUAUUCCUAUUCAUGCUAUUACUAAGAAUGUGGCAUUCCAGUGUUUGGUUUGCAUGAUUAUAUUUUUUAGUCAUGUUAUUUAAGAUUACAAAAAAUAUACAAUUUUUUUAUUUUUUUAAUUAAUUUUAGAUAAUGCUAUUAAAAAUUUGAACAUCUUUUUAGAAAAAAGUGAGAGAGAACAUAGGUUAGAGAGAGAGUAUAAUUAAAAAAAUAGGAAGAGAAAUAGAGUUGAGAUUAGAGGGAGUGAGAGAGUUGAGAUUUUAGAAAAAGAGAGGGAGAGAGAGCAUAAUUUAAAGAGAAAAAGAUAAGUUUAGAGAGAGAAAUGAGGUUAGAGUGUAAAAAAAAAUAAUACCAACUAGCCGGCGGAUAGGGAGAAAGAAAAAAAUUAGAUAUAUUAUGAUUAUCUCAAUCCAUUAAUAUGAGGAUACCCACCCUUCCUCAAGGGAAUGAGAUUAAUACUUUAGGGUGAAUCCCAUUCCUAAGUAAAUCUAAUAUUACCAACUAGAUUACUUAGUGCGUUUAGCCAAAUACCGUCAUAUUUUUUUUAUUCCUAUUGGAUUACUAGGAAUCUUAAAAAGAUAGCACGAAUCAAAUGCACCCUAAGUGUAAAAUGGUCAUUUUACACACUCAUCGUUAAAAACUAACUACGAAUCAAACGGUAAGAACAUAUAUGAACGAACCAGAACUUUUGGAGAGAUAUAUUUGCAAAUCACAGAAUUUUCGAACGGAUAAAUCUGAUCAUUUAAGUUUUAUAGAAAUUUAUUUAUUAUUUGAUACUUUUACAGGGACAUAUAUGAAAUUAAU
This 953-nucleotide long non-coding RNA is filed under the name Ananas comosus (pineapple). RNAcentral's name for it is "long non-coding RNA (ACOM_LNC027111)". The record is from RNAcentral. Lineage: Eukaryota; Viridiplantae; Streptophyta; Magnoliopsida; Poales; Bromeliaceae.